GGAUUAUUAUAUUAUAGAAAAAGCUUCUAACUUAUUUCUAAAGUGGUGAAAAUCCAUUUAUAAUCCU
This 67-nucleotide transfer RNA is filed under the name Cucujoidea sp. 6 KM-2017. RNAcentral describes it as "tRNA-Ser". Lineage: Eukaryota; Metazoa; Arthropoda; Insecta; Coleoptera. The record is from RNAcentral.